GAUGAACGCUGGCGGCGUGCCUAAUACAUGCAAGUCGAACGAGGUGCUUGAGUAGCAAUACGAGAGUAUCCUAGUGGCGAACGGGUGAGUAACGCGUUGGUGACCUACCCCAAAGUGUGGGAUAACAGUCCGAAAGGAUUGCUAAUACCGCAUGUGGUCUUCGGAUUUAGAAACUGAUGACUAAAGCAGCAAUGCGCUUUGGGAGGGACCUGCGUCCCAUCAGCUAGUUGGCGAGGUAACGGCUCACCAAGGCGACGACGGGUAGGGGACCUGAG
RNAcentral lists this ribosomal RNA (275 nucleotides) under uncultured bacterium. Its description in RNAcentral is "partial 16S ribosomal RNA". It matches the Rfam family "Bacterial small subunit ribosomal RNA", at positions 28 to 296 of the family's 1533-position model. The record is from RNAcentral.